AUGAUCUCAGAUUUUGUAUUUUGGUUAAAUCCUCUGCUGCGUGUGAGAGAGGACGAGAGAACACAUCAUCUCUUCAUCACCUCUUCAUCAUCUCUUCAUCAUCUGUUCAUCACCUCUUCAUCACCUCUUCAUCAUCUCUUCAUCAUCUCUUCAUCAUCUGUUCAUCACCUCUUCAUCACCUCUUCAUCACCUCUUCAUCACCUCUUCAUCAUCUGUUCAUCAUCUCUUCAUCAUCUCUUCAUCACCUCUUCAUCAUCUCUUCAUCAUCUCUUUAUCAUCUGUUCAUCAUCUCUUCAUCACCUCUUCAUCAUCUGUUCAUCAUCUCUUCAUCAUCUCUUCAUCACCUCUUCAUCACCUCUUCAUCAUCUCUUCAUCACCUCUUCAUCACCUCUUCAUCACCUCUUCAUCACCUCUUCAUCAUCUCUUCAUCAUCUCUUCAUCAUCUCUUCAUCACCUCUUCAUCACCUCUUCAUCAUCUCUUCAUCAUCUCUUCAUCACCUCUUCAUCACCUCUUCAUCACCUCUUCAUCAUCUCUUCAUCACCUCUUCAUCACCUCUUCAUCACCUCUUCAUCAUCUCUUCAUCAUCUCUUCAUCACCUCUUCAUCACCUCUUCAUCACCUCUUCAUCAUCUCUUCAUCAUCUGUUCAUCAUCUCUUCAUCACCUCUUCAUCACCUCUUCAUCACCUCUUCAUCAUCUCUUCAUCAUCUCUUCAUCACCUCUUCAUCAUCUCUUCAUCAUCUGUUCAUCAUCUGUUCAUCAUCUCUUCAUCACCUCUUCAUCACCUCUUCAUCAUCUGUUCAUCACCUCUUCAUCAUCUCUUCAUCACCUCUUCAUCAUCUCUUCAUCAUCUCUUCAUCACCUCUUCAUCACCUCUUCAUCACCUCUUCAUCAUCUCUUCAUCAUCUGUUCAUCAUCUCUUCAUCACCUCUUCAUCAUCUGUUCAUCACCUCUUCAUCAUCUCUUCAUCACCUCUUCAUCAUCUGUUCAUCAUCUGUUCAUCAUCUCUUCAUCACCUCUUCAUCAUCUCUUCAUCAUCUGUUCAUCACCUCUUCAUCACCUCUUCAUCACCUCUUCAUCAUCUCUUCAUCACCUCUUCAUCAUCUGUUCAUCACCUCUUCAUCAUCUCUUCAUCACCUCUUCAUCAUCUCUUCAUCAUCUGUUCAUCAUCUCUUCAUCACCUCUUCAUCACCUCUUCAUCAUCUGUUCAUCACCUCUUCAUCACCUCUUCAUCAUCUGUUCAUCACCUCUUCAUCAUCUCUUCAUCACCUCUUCAUCAUCUGUUCAUCACCUCUUCAUCAUCUCUUCAUCAUCUCUUCAUCACCUCUUCAUCACCUCUUCAUCAUCCCUUCAUCAUCUGUUCAUCAUCUCUUCAUCACCUCUUCAUCACCUCUUCAUCAUCUCUUCAUCAUCUGUUCAUCAUCUGUUCAUCAUCUCUUCAUCACCUCUUCAUCAUCUCUUCAUCAUCUCUUCCUCCUCCUCCUCCUCCUCCUCUUCUUCUUGUGUCGGUGUUUGA
RNAcentral lists this long non-coding RNA (1515 nucleotides) under Scophthalmus maximus (turbot). Its description in RNAcentral is "lncRNA (ENSSMAG00000037192.1)". Lineage: Eukaryota; Metazoa; Chordata; Actinopteri; Pleuronectiformes; Scophthalmidae. The record is from RNAcentral.